ACAAGCGAGCGGCGGACGGGUGAGUAACACGUGGGUAACCUGCCCAAGAGACUGGGAUAACACCUGGAAACAGAUGCUAAUACCGGAUAACAACACUAGACGCAUGUCUAGAGUUUGAAAGAUGGUUCUGCUAUCACUCUUGGAUGGACCUGCGGUGCAUUAGCUAGUUGGUAAGGUAACGGCUUACCAAGGCAAUGAUGCAUAGCCGAGUUGAGAGACUGAUCGGCCACAUUGGGACUGAGACACGGCCCAAACUCCUACGGGAGGCAGCAGUAGGGAAUCUUCCACAAUGGACGAAAGUCUGAUGGAGCAACGCCGCGUGAGUGAAGAAGGGUUUCGGCUCGUAAAGCUCUGUUGGUAGUGAAGAAAGAUAGAGGUAGUAACUGGCCUUUAUUUGACGGUAAUUACUUAGAAAGUCACGGCUAACUACGUGCCAGCAGCCGCGGUAAUACGUAGGUGGCAAGCGUUGUCCGGAUUUAUUGGGCGUAAAGCGAGUGCAGGCGGUUCAAUAAGUCUGAUGUGAAAGCCUUCGGCUCAACCGGAGAAUUGCAUCAGAAACUGUUGAACUUGAGUGCAGAAGAGGAGAGUGGAACUCCAUGUGUAGCGGUGGAAUGCGUAGAUAUAUGGAAGAACACCAGUGGCGAAGGCGGCUCUCUGGUCUGCAACUGACGCUGAGGCUCGAAAGCAUGGGUAGCGAACAGGAUUAGAUACCCUGGUAGUCCAUGCCGUAAACGAUGAGUGCUAAGUGUUGGGAGGUUCCGCCUCUCAGUGCUGCAGCUAACGCAUUAAGCACUCCGCCUGGGGAGUACGACCGCAAGGUUGAAACUCAAAGGAAUUGACGGGGGCCCGCACAAGCGGUGGAGCAUGUGGUUUAAUUCGAAGCAACGCGAAGAACCUUACCAGGUCUUGACAUCCAGUGCAAACCUAAGAGAUUAGGUGUUCCCUUCGGGGACGCUGAGACAGGUGGUGCAUGGCUGUCGUCAGCUCGUGUCGUGAGAUGUUGGGUUAAGUCCCGCAACGAGCGCAACCCUUGUCAUUAGUUGCCAUCAUUAAGUUGGGCACUCUAAUGAGACUGCCGGUGACAAACCGGAGGAAGGUGGGGAUGACGUCAAGUCAUCAUGCCCCUUAUGACCUGGGCUACACACGUGCUACAAUGGACGGUACAACGAGAAGCGAACCUGCGAAGGCAAGCGGAUCUCUUAAAGCCGUUCUCAGUUCGGACUGUAGGCUGCAACUCGCCUACACGAAGCUGGAAUCGCUAGUAAUCGCGGAUCAGCACGCCGCGGUGAA
This 1290-nucleotide ribosomal RNA is filed under the name Lactobacillus johnsonii. RNAcentral's name for it is "bacterial SSU rRNA". It matches the Rfam family "Bacterial small subunit ribosomal RNA", at positions 87 to 1366 of the family's 1533-position model. The record is from RNAcentral. Lineage: Bacteria; Bacillati; Bacillota; Bacilli; Lactobacillales; Lactobacillaceae.